GACAUAGGUCGCGAACGUUAUCCGGAAUUAUUGGGCGUAAAGGAUGCGUAGAUGGUUCAGUAAGUUACUGGUGGGAAAUCGAGGCCUAACCUCGUGGAAGUCAGUAAUACUGUUGAACUUGAGUGCAGGAGAGGUUAACGGAACUUCAUGUGGAGCGGUAAAAUGCGUAGAUAUAUGAAAGAACAUCAAUAUAGCGAAGGCAGUUAACUAUUCUGCUACUGACAUUGAGGCAUGAAAGCGUGGGGAGCAAAACGG
Molecule: ribosomal RNA, 255 nt
Filed under: uncultured bacterium
Lineage: Bacteria
Description: partial 16S ribosomal RNA
Rfam family: Bacterial small subunit ribosomal RNA
Source: RNAcentral